AACGAACGCUGGCGGCAUGCCUAACACAUGCAAGUCGAACGAGACCUUCGGGUUUAGUUGCGCACGGGUGCGUAACGCGUGGGAACCUGCCCUUAUGUUCGGAAUAACUCCCCGAAAGGGGUGCUAAUACCGGAUAAUGUCUUCGGACCAAAGAUUUAUCGCCUUUGGAUGGGCCCGCGUUGGAUUAGCUAGUUGGUAGGGUAAAAGCCUACCAAGGCGACGAUCCAGAGCUGGUCUGAGAGGAUGAUCAGCCACACUGGGACUGAGGCACGGCCCAGACUCCUACGGGAGGAAGCAGUGGGGAAUAUUGGAGCAGGGGCGAAAGCCUGAUCCAGCAAUGCCGCGUGAGUGAUGAAGGCCUUAGGGUUGUAAAGCUCUUUUACCCGGGAUGAUAAUGACAGUACCGGGAGAAUAAGCACCGGCUAACUCCGUG
Molecule: ribosomal RNA, 433 nt
Filed under: uncultured bacterium
Lineage: Bacteria
Description: partial 16S ribosomal RNA
Rfam family: Bacterial small subunit ribosomal RNA
Source: RNAcentral